This 72-nucleotide transfer RNA is filed under the name Salmo salar (Atlantic salmon). It matches the Rfam family "tRNA". From Rfam's summary of the family: Transfer RNA (tRNA) molecules are approximately 80 nucleotides in length. Their secondary structure includes four short double-helical elements and three loops (D, anti-codon, and T loops). Lineage: Eukaryota; Metazoa; Chordata; Actinopteri; Salmoniformes; Salmonidae. The record is from Rfam by way of RNAcentral.
UCCCAUGUGGCUCAGUUGGUAGAGCAUGGUGUUUGCAAUGCCAGGAUUGUGGGUUCGAUUCCCACGGGGGAC